Non-coding RNA from Picea glauca (white spruce), 122 nucleotides. The record is from Rfam. NCBI's taxonomy places the organism in Eukaryota, Viridiplantae, Streptophyta, Pinopsida, Pinales, Pinaceae.
UUAUGUACAUGCCUAUAACGUUAAUGCACUAUAUCCCAUGAGAACUCUGUAGUUAAGCAUGCUUGGGAAAGAGUAGUACUAGGAUGGGUGACCUCCCAAGAAGUCCUAGUGUUUUACAUGAC